UGAACAGCCAAAGGGGAGCUGGAACUGUCUGGGGUGUGGGAACUCUUCCAGUCUGGUCACGCUUGGGGUCUGGGAUGUGUUUGGAGUCUGGAAAUGUUUGGGGUCUGGGACACGUUUGGGAUCUGGACACAUUUGGGAUUUGGACACGUUUGGGGUCUGGGACAUGUUUGGGAUCUGGGACCUGUUUGGGGUCUGGACAUGUUUGGGGUCUGGACACAUUUGGGGUGUGGGGAAAGAUUGGGAUUUGGGACACGUUUGGGUUGUGGGUCUGGACAUGAUUGGGAUUUGGACAGGUUUGGGGUUUGGGACACGUUAGGGGUCUGGGACGUGUUUGGAAUCUGGGACAUGUUUGGGGUCUGGACAUGUUUGGGAUUUGGACACAUUUGGGAUUUGGGACAUGUUUGGAGUCUGGGACAUGUUUGGGGUGUGGACAUGUUUGGGGUGUGGACAUGUUUGGGGUCUGGACACAUUUGGGAUUUGGACACGUUUGGGAUCUCCCACUGCAGACCUUGCAGGAAUGGGGUGAUCUCUCCGCUGGGGGUGUGUGGGGUGGUGGGAACUCUUCCGUGGCCCUGCAGGAAUGGGGUGAUGGAUCUCCGUGGAAUUCUCUUCCCUGCAGCUGGCCAUGGGGAAGAUGAUGGAGCAGGGCCCAGUGCUGAUCAUCACCUUCCAGGCCCAGGUGGUGAUGGUGAUCAAGAACCACCAAGGGGAGGUGGUGGAAGGGGACCCGGACAAGGUGCUGCGGAUGCUCUACGUGUGGGCCCUGUGCCGGGACCAGGACGAGCUGAACCCCUACAUGGCCUGGAGGCUGCUGGACAUUUCCUCCUCCAGCACGGAGCAGGUGCUCUGAGCAGGGCUGGGCUGGGCCCUUCCCACCCCUCUGGAAGCAGCUCCAGCCCAGAACUCCCCACGGGGAGCAGCCCAGGCUGGGGAUUUUGGGAGAAGUGCUCCUGGUUAUCCCAAUCCCUGAGGAAUGGGAAUCCCUGCUCGGGAAUGGCUGGGACGAGCAGGUGCUGCUUUAUCCUCGUGCCUCAGGAGGCUCCUGGGAAGCCCACAGAGCUCUCAUUCCCACCUGCUGGCACCCCUGGAGAUCCUUGGAAAGGCCUUGGAGGGGUUCCUGGCUGCCAAUCUCCUGCCCAGGCUCCAGCCCCGUGUCCCUGCCGUGUCUUGCACUUUCCCAAACCAAAUACAACCAGGACUUUGCACAUGGAGGUGUUGGAUCCUCAGGUUGGUGCUGGGAUGGGGCUGAUAUUUAAAUAUCCAGCGGUGAGAUUUGUUUAUCCACAGCUUGGCAGGGGGAACGUUGUUGGUUCUGGUCACGGAGAGCCACAGCUGCAUCCCUUGGGAUGGUGGGGAAGGUGUGGGACAGGACAGGGAGUGUCUGAGGAGUGGAACUGCUUUGGGAACGCUGAAUUUUUCUGUCCCAUCCUGUCUCAUUCCCAAGAGGAAAGCUGUGCUCCUCAUCCCUGCACAGAUCCCAGGUCCAGGAGCAGAAACUUCCCCAGUUUGCUGCUGGAGCGUGGGGUAAAAUCCCCUUUCAGGCCCAAUCUGAACAAUGGGGUUUGAAAAUCCCAAAUCAUGAAAAAUUUUCCCCAAAUUCAGGUUCCUGUGGGGUUUGGGACUCUCUCCUCGAGCUUCAUGCUCCUGGGAGGAAGAGCAGGGGGGCUGUCUGAGGGGGAGCAGGAACUGUGGGAUUUGGGCUGCUGGAGGGGUUUGGGGGCCGAGGCUGCCCAUGGAAAGGAAGGUUGGGAAAAGAUUUGGAGAGGAAAUCCAAGGAUUGCUGUGGUGCUGAGGGUGAGGUAGGACAGCUCUGCCCUGCCAGUGUGAUUAAAGAGAAUAAUUCCAGUUGUUCCUCUUCUCUUGCGAGUGUCCUGAGCUUUGAACAUCCCUGGGCUGGGAUGUUUUCCUUGGAGCAUCC
RNAcentral lists this long non-coding RNA (1918 nucleotides) under Lonchura striata (white-rumped munia). RNAcentral's name for it is "domestica (Bengalese finch) lncRNA (ENSLSDG00000014779.1)". The record is from RNAcentral. Lineage: Eukaryota; Metazoa; Chordata; Aves; Passeriformes; Estrildidae.